UGGGGAAUUUUGGACAAUGGGCGCAAGCCUGAUCCAGCCAUGCCGCGUGGAGGAUGAAGGGUCUAUGACUUGUAAACUCCUGUAAAGAAGGAAAAAAUUCCCAUUAGAUGGGAGAUGAUGGUACUUCUGGAGUAAGCCCCGGCUAACUACGUGCCAGCAGCCGCGGUAAUACGUAGGGGGCAAGCGUUGUCCGGAUUUACUGGGUGUAAAGGGUGCUCAGGCGGAUUUGUAAGUCAGAGGUGAAAUCUUACAGCUUAACUGUGAAACUGCCUUUGAUACUGCAAGCCUAGAGUAUGGAAGAGAGUGAUGGAAUAUCUGGUGUAGCAGUGAAAUGCGUAGAUAUCAGAUAGAACACCAAUGGCGAAGGCAGUCACUUAGUCCAUUACUGACGCUAAAGCACGAAAGCGUGGGUAGCAAACA
This 420-nucleotide ribosomal RNA is filed under the name uncultured bacterium. Its description in RNAcentral is "bacterial SSU rRNA". It matches the Rfam family "Bacterial small subunit ribosomal RNA", at positions 355 to 774 of the family's 1533-position model. The record is from RNAcentral.